RNAcentral lists this ribozyme (71 nucleotides) under Rodentolepis nana. RNAcentral describes it as "Hymenolepis nana HDV ribozyme from F. prausnitzii". It matches the Rfam family "HDV ribozyme from F. prausnitzii". Lineage: Eukaryota; Metazoa; Platyhelminthes; Cestoda; Cyclophyllidea; Hymenolepididae. The record is from Rfam by way of RNAcentral.
GGGGUGCGUAAUAGACUUACCUCCACGUGGUGCAUCCUGGGCAACGUAUGCUCAUACGGCAAAAAGUCUAU